RNAcentral lists this ribosomal RNA (873 nucleotides) under Heteroradulum deglubens. RNAcentral's name for it is "eukaryotic LSU rRNA". It matches the Rfam family "Eukaryotic large subunit ribosomal RNA", at positions 69 to 933 of the family's 3401-position model. Lineage: Eukaryota; Fungi; Basidiomycota; Agaricomycetes; Auriculariales; Auriculariaceae. The record is from RNAcentral.
CAAGGAUUCCCCUAGUAACGGCGAGUGAAGCGGGAAGAGCUCAAAUUUGAAAUCUGGCGGUCUACGGCCGUCCGAGUUGUAAUCUAGAGAGGUGUUUUCCGUGCCGGACCGUGUACAAGUCCCUUGGAACAGGGCGUCAUAGAGGGUGAGAAUCCCGUCCAUGACACGGACUACCGGUGCUCUGUGAUACACCUUCGAAGAGUCGAGUUGUUUGGGAAUGCAGCUCAAAAUGGGUGGUAAAUUCCAUCUAAAGCUAAAUACAGGCGAGAGACCGAUAGCGAACAAGUACCGUGAGGGAAAGAUGAAAAGAACUUUGGAAAGAGAGUUAAACAGUACGUGAAAUUGUUGAAAGGGAAACGCUUGAAGUCAGUCGCGUCUGUCAGGACUCAGCCUUGCUUCUGCAUGGUGCAUUUCCUGGUGGAUGGGCCAGCAUCGAUUUUGGUCGCCGGAAAAGGGCGGGAGGAAUGUGGCAGCUUGCUGUGUUAUAGCCUCCUGUCGUACACGGUGGUUGGGAUCGAGGACUGCAGCACGCCUUUGGUCGGGGUUCGCCCACGCCACGUGCUUAGGAUGCUGGCGUAAUGGCUUUAAGCGACCCGUCUUGAAACACGGACCAAGGAGUCUAACAUGCCUGCGAGUGUUUGGGCGUUAAACCCAGGCGCGUAAUGAAAGUGAAAAGUUGGGACUCUUUAGUGAGGCACCGACGCCCGAUCCUGACGUUCUCUGACGGAUUUGAGGUAGAGCAUGUAUGUUGGGACCCGAAAGAUGGUGAACUAUGCCUGAAUAGGGUGAAGCCAGAGGAAACUCUGGUGGAGGCUCGUAGCGAUUCUGACGUGCAAAUCGAUCGUCAAAUUUGGGUAUAGGGGCGAAAGACUA